AGAGUUUGAUCCUGGCUCAGAACGAACGUUGGCGGCAUGGAUUAGGCAUGCAAGUCGAACGAAUCCCAAGGAGCAAUCUGAGGGGGAAGUGGCGAAAGGGGCAGUAAUACCUGGAUAACCUACCCUGGGGAUGGGCAUAGCCGUUCUAACGAGCGGGUAAUACCCAGCGAUUCGGCGGGUCGGCAUCGAUCUGCCGGGAAAUGAAUUUCGCCUCGGGAGGGGUCCAGGAGCUAUCAGGUAGUUGGUGAGGUAACGGCUCACCAAGCCUUAGACGGCUAGCGGGUGUGAGAGCACGACCCGCGCCACUGGCACUGAGACACUGGCCAGACACCUACGGGUGGCUGCAGUCGAGGAUCUUCGUCAAUGGGCGCAAGCCUGAACGAGCGAUGCCGCGUGAGCGAUGAAGGCCUUCGGGUUGUAAAGCUCAAAAGAGAUGAGAAAGGGAAACUUGAUCGAAUCUCAGUAAGCUCGGGCUAAGUUCGUGCCAGCAGCCGCGGUAAU
RNAcentral lists this ribosomal RNA (501 nucleotides) under uncultured soil bacterium. RNAcentral's name for it is "bacterial SSU rRNA". It matches the Rfam family "Bacterial small subunit ribosomal RNA", at positions 8 to 524 of the family's 1533-position model. The record is from RNAcentral.